Molecule: ribosomal RNA, 494 nt
Filed under: uncultured bacterium
Lineage: Bacteria
Description: partial 16S ribosomal RNA
Rfam family: Bacterial small subunit ribosomal RNA
Source: RNAcentral
GACGAACGCUGGCGGCGUGCUUAACACAUGCAAGUCGAACGGAAAGGCCUGCUUUCCCUUGUGGAUUGCGGGUACUCGAGUGGCGAACGGGUGAGUAACACGUGAGUGAUCUGCCCCCAACUUGGGUAUAAGCCUGGGAAACUGGGUCUAAUUCCCGAUAGGACUGCAGGGUGGUGCCUGUGGUGGAAAACGAUUUUCUAGUGGUUGGGGAUGAGCUCGCGGCCUAUCAGCUUGUUGGUGGGGUAAUGGCCUACCAAGGCGGCGACGGGUAGCCGGCCUGAGAGGGUGGACGGCCACAUUGGGACGGAGAUACGGCCCAGACUCCUACGGGAGGCAGCAGUGGGGAAUAUUGCACAAUGGGCGGAAGCCUGAUGCAGCGACGCGGCGUGGGGGAUGACGGCCUUCGGGUUGUAAACUCCUUUCGACCGCGAGGAAGCCACCUGGUUGGAAGGGUGGUGACGGUAGUGGUAGAAGAAGCACCGGCUAACUACGUG